Molecule: ribosomal RNA, 485 nt
Filed under: uncultured bacterium
Lineage: Bacteria
Description: bacterial SSU rRNA
Rfam family: Bacterial small subunit ribosomal RNA
Source: RNAcentral
AACGAACGCUGGCGGCGCGCCUAACACAUGCAAGUCGAACGAGAAUCCGGGGCAACCCGGUAGUAAAGUGGCAAACGGGUGAGGAAUACAUGGGUAACCUACCCUUGAGAAGGGAAUAACCCGCCGAAAGGUGAGCUAAUACCCUAUACGCUAUCUUUUUUUCGAAAAGGAUAGGAAAGCCGGGUCGAGGACCUGGUACUCAAGGAGGGGCUCAUGUCCUAUCAACUUGUUGGUGGGGUAACGGCCUACCAAGGCUACGACGGGUAGCUGGUCUGAGAGGAUGAUCAGCCACACUGGCACUGAGAUACGGGCCAGACUCCUACGGGAGGCAGCAGUGAGGAAUAUUGCGCAAUGGGCGAAAGCCUGACGCAGCGACGCCGCGUGGGGGAUGAAGGUUUUCGGAUUGUAAACCCCUUUCAUGAGGAAAGAUAAAGUGGGUAACCACUUAGACGGUACCUCAAGAAGAAGCCACGGCUAACUUCGUG